Paramisgurnus dabryanus is the source of this 1145-nucleotide long non-coding RNA. RefSeq lists it as uncharacterized. NCBI's taxonomy places the organism in Eukaryota, Metazoa, Chordata, Actinopteri, Cypriniformes, Cobitidae. The record is from RefSeq and is a predicted model, not a curated record.
UAGGUGGCGGUAUUGCACCUUAACGUUGGAUGCCACCCGCCAUAAAACAUAAGAAGAAGAAGAAGAACAGUAAGGUAAGUUUGAUUUAAUUCAUUUGUCUGCAUCGCGCUGAUCGGUUGCCUAUUUGUUCAUAUUAUGUUAUUUACUAUGAUUCGUUUUUGUCUUUAUACUAGAACUGUUUGAAUUUAAAGCACAAACAGUAAAACAUUAAGGUUAUACGUGGUACACAGCGGUAAACAUGAGGUUAAAAAUACGCGAAGUUACAUUCAAACCGGGCUGUUAAAAGAAUCAAUUCGAUGUUUAAAUUUUUAAAAACAAAACUUUAAAGAAGCCAAGAUGAGACGUUAUUUGCUUAAAACAAACAAAACAACAGUAACUCGUUUGUUUGAAAUGUUAGCAGCUAGCAAGUGUCUCUCUGCUAUUUUAAAUGGUACAGACGAUCUUUUGUUGUUUUAAAAGCUCAUUCAGUUCUGGUAGAUGCUGCUUAUUUUUCAAGACUGUUUUAAUAGCUUUAUAUUGAUUUGUAACAAAGCCAGCUUCACUUUAAGAGAACCUAGAUGCUAAUUGUAAAGAAGCUUGGAGUCAUAAUAUAUUUAAACGUUAUAUGUUUGCUGUUCUUCAUCUUUUUAAAUAUGAAGUCUAUUCAUGUUUGUGUUUACAGAGGUCAUGUACACUGUGGUCAACUUUGUGGACGAUGAAGAGGUUUCUGGGUAAAGAUGAUAGAAAUAUAAUGAAGUAACAGUGAAAGCUAAAACAUCAGACUGAUCCAGACACUGAAGAAAUUGAUGUCACUGCAAUCUGGCCAAAAUGAUACAACUAUAUUGAAGUAGCCUACUGUAAUGAAGCUGCGGAACAACACAAAGACUCUGAGGACAUCAACACAGAAAAUGAAGGCUCCAAAGAGAUGUCUGUCCAGAUGAGGGUGCAUCAAUGUUACGUUUGCUGACAAGUAUAUGCUUUACAAUGUAAAACCUAACAGUUAACUUAACUCAAACCAUUUAAGGAAAUCGGUUGCCUUAACCCAUUAAGUUUUAAAAAACAUACAUUUGAGUACUGUGAACUUAAGUCUUGUGCAAUUAUGCACUUAUAUUUAGUUAGUGUGAACUUAAAUAUAAGUGCAUAACUGCAUGUGACUCAAUUUGUUU